UAAGUAUAGAAGAAAAGUACAACUCGACAUAAUUUUCAAGAAUUUCUUUUCUGUUUGAAAGUGUCUAUUCAAAACAUUUGAGGGGAUUUGCACCAAUUCCAUGAACUGAGUUAUGCUAGAGAUAAAUAAUUUAAAGCAAUGAAAUUUUCUUUCAAGAUAAUUUUAGCAACUUUUUUCUUUUUCAGGCUUGGCUUUACAAGAUGCAUUUCUUUUUUUGAUUUUCUUUCUAGGGGUUUUCUUCAGAUCUUUCUGAUAUAACCUUUUAACCUUGUGAGCUUUUUUUAAAGAAUACUUUUUCGUUAGUUUUCUUUCUUAUAGAAAAUUUAUUUUGGAUUUUAUGGUUAGAACACAUGGUGAGUUUUUCAACAUAUCAGUUUAACAUAUGUUUGAUCUCAUAUUAGCUGCUAUUUUCCUAUUCCUUGAAAGUAAAAAAUCGUUAAUCGUGGAAUCUGAGCAGCUGCAACGCGUCAGUUUUUUUCAAGUUUUUGGAUGUUUUUUCUCUUAUUUUUAAAAGAAAUGUAAACAUUGCAUACACAAGCUUAUUAGGGCAUUCAGAUGUUAUUUUUCUGGAAGAAUUUGCUUUCUUGUUGUCCUAUACAUUUUUUUGAACCUGCCUAAUAACCUCCUGAAGUAAUGUAUAUUUUUCUUGUAGGCGCUGAUCAAGUCGUUUGGAAUGAUCUUUUUCUAUCUUGGAACAUUUUAUGUAAUUUUCUAGGUUUAUAAAUCUAAGUAAUCGAAAAGAGCUAAUGAAAAACUUUUUUAAGGGUAAGUUCUUAUAUAAUUCUUUUUUUAUCUUAAACCAAUUCAAAUUCAAUCUGUUAGCUAAAUUGUUUUUUAAAACAAUUGCUUUGUUUGAACUGAAAGGGCAUCAAGAAUUAUGUGAUAGCACCAAAUCUGCAACGUUGGAAAAAACUUUUUAACACCCUUUAUUUGAAAGAAUAUCUGAAAUUUCGUAAGCCGGAUGCAAAAAUUUUGCUAUUAUUUAACUGUUGUGAACAUAUUGCAGAUGAGACUAACACAUUCAAGCAAAAAAGAACGCAGCCUUUAUGGCACAAAUUGAUGAAAAGGAAACACAACUUUAGAAUCCAUUGAAUGUAAGUCGCUAUGAAAUUAUUUGAAUACCAUUUUAUGUAAUCUUUUAGAGCAAAAUACAUGGCUGAUUGUUUAAUUUUUCUUUCUUUUCAGGAAUGGUUUUUAUACAAGGCGAUUUUAUGCUUCCUUCCAGAUCUUUUUAAAGGAAAUUUGGCCACCCACAUUUUGCCACAUUUGCCAGAUAUAACUAUUCUUUUAUAUUUCAGAACAAAACAUCGAUCAAAUAACAAUGCAAAUUAAAAAUUGGUUAGUGAAAUUUUAUGGAAAUUGUUAUUACAGGAAGUGUUUGUAAUUGAAGUAAUAAAAACAUGCAAUAAAUCUAUAUAUAAGUUGGCUUUCACAUUUAAUUUAUUUUUAUUAUUUUAGGUUAAGUGCUACAUAUGGAAGAUAUAUAUUUGCGAAAAGUAUUCCAUUUUAGAGGUUUCGUUUUCACGUAUAUUUGAUUGUAUCACUUUUCCUUGAAAUCUUUUUGAAUAAUGAUUUUUUAUUACAGUUUUAUCUUAUAGAAAAACGUUCUUUGGAUUAGAUAGUUUGAACACCUGAUGAGUUUCCAGCUUAUGUAAGGCACAACUUUAAAGGCUGCGUUUGCUUUUGUUUUCUUGCUGAUAAAUGGACAAUUAAUUAGCAUCUUAUAGGAAUAUACAACACAGCCUAGAUGUUGAAAAUUGACGAGGAAGAAGACUUAGCAGCCAAAAUGUUGAUUGGAUUGGGUGGACACAACCUAGAAGUUACGUAUUGAUGGAAACAAAACUAGACAGCAAUAAAAUCGAUUCAACGUAAGUUGUUACAAAAUUAUAUCCUUUACAUUUUUAAAGGUUUAGCUUAAAUGCGCUUUUGUAAAUCUGAUUGCUGCUUUUUUUUCUUUUCAGGUAUUUUGGUCACAUAAGACGAUUUAAUAUAUACUUUUCACCUUAUUUCAAGGGCACUUUGAGACGUCAACAAUAUAUUUUAUCGACAAAUAAAGCCGUUUCUAGAUAUCCAAGACUUUAUUUUUCAGAGUAGACGCGUGAUUUCCAAGAUUCGUACAUAUUUUUUUAAGAAACUAUAUCCAGAAUUCGGGUCCCUCUUUACUGAAAUGUUAAUAUGAUCAAAAUUGUAGUUGUUUUUCAAGAAAACUUCCUAAGCGAUGUGCCCCAUUAAAUGAAUGAGUAAACAUUGUCUGCCCUUUGUUAAUUACGAAUAGGUUUUUGGAUCAUGAAGCAUGUGUUUUAAUUCCAACCCUAAACAUGAUUAUGUGAUGACAACCAAAAAGGUGCAGGUCAUUUUUGGAUUGUUUUUGUUUUCUUCAAACCAAAGAUUCAGAAGAGGCUGAAACUCAAGAAGGUAAACCUUAUGCGAGGGAUUAUAUUUUGCGAGUUGCGAGUUGUCAGUUGCGAGUUGAUUUUUCAUCAUGACAGUUCAUUCUUUUUACCCCAAUUAUACCUCCUUGUGCGCAAAGAAAUUCAGUUGCUCAGACGAAAGGGCACAUCAGUGGAAGGAGCUGAUGCUGAAUGCAAUGUCCGAGAGGGAGAAAGCCGAACAAGAGAAACAGGAUUUACAAGUUAAAGUCCAGAAACUUGAAGAAAUGUGCAGAAGAAAAGAGAAAUUUCUUCAGGAACUAAAGCAGAUAUUUGAAAAAUCAGACAUCGUUUUUGCCGGUGCACAUAAAAGGCGCACAGGAGAAGGGUCAGUACUGUGUUUUGGACAUACCACAUUGUACUUUUUUUGUACGCUUUGCUAUGGAUCAAAGCAUUACACUUUUGAUCUGACAUUUCGUCACCUGCCCUUUCGUCACCUGACGUUUC
Rhopilema esculentum is the source of this 2876-nucleotide non-coding RNA. The record is from RefSeq and is a predicted model, not a curated record. NCBI's taxonomy places the organism in Eukaryota, Metazoa, Cnidaria, Scyphozoa, Rhizostomeae, Rhizostomatidae.